AACAAGGCGUACCUGCGGACCUGCGGAAGGAUCAUUACCGAGUGCGGGUCCCCUCGCGGGGCCCAACCUCCCACCCGUGUCUACCGUCACCUGUUGCUUCGGCGGGCCCGCCUUCGUGCCGCCGGGGGGCCCUCUGCGCCCCCGGGCCCGCGCCCGCCGAAGACUCUAGGAACACUGAAUGAAGGAUGCCGUCUGAGUCAAACGACACAAUCGUUAAAACUUUUAACAAUGGAUCUCAGA
Molecule: unclassified non-coding RNA, 240 nt
Filed under: soil metagenome
Description: partial contains 5.8S ribosomal RNA, internal transcribed spacer 2, and large subunit ribosomal RNA
Source: RNAcentral